RNAcentral lists this small RNA (621 nucleotides) under Vigna angularis var. angularis. RNAcentral's name for it is "Non-protein coding transcript". The record is from RNAcentral. Lineage: Eukaryota; Viridiplantae; Streptophyta; Magnoliopsida; Fabales; Fabaceae.
UCAAGAUUAAGUUCUCAAAUCAGUCUCACGACUUGCAUUAUCCCCUUUGGUGCCUUGUCGUGGUUUCUUCCUCUCUGACUAUGCAUGUCGUCAAUCCGGUGACAGUGGGCCAUAAGGGGUGUGAUUUUGAGGGAAUCGUGGUGUUUCUGCAAAGGGGUGAGCAAGUAUGAGAGAAUGAAAGUCGUAAUCUAUACGGAGAGUUAAGCCAUGGCCACAAUCCCUGCCAUUUCUCCAAAUGGGGUGUUUGGUACCAGAUUUUUAAUCCACUGAAGUCUUCUCUUGACCACUCAAACCAAUCUCCCUUUGGUGGUCGUCACCAACAUUCCCAAAGUUUGAGCAACAUGGAGAGGAGGUUAGUCGUAGUCACGACGACAAAUGAGAGGUUCUAGACCAUGUCAAGAACUAACCCCAGAGAAUACCGCAUUCACUGUCAUCGGACCAACAAGAAGACAAAGAGGUGGCAGCGACGAGGCAUAUGAAGGAGAGAGUGCAAGCAAUACUGCAACGAAACACGAGAUUAUUAGCUGCGAUUAUGGUACUGAUUUGAAAACUUAGUAAAUUACAUUUAAGUCCUUUUUAAAGAAAUAAAUAGAAUGAUGUGUAAAAUAAUUACAAACUGCA